Molecule: long non-coding RNA, 201 nt
Filed under: Elaeis guineensis (African oil palm)
Lineage: Eukaryota; Viridiplantae; Streptophyta; Magnoliopsida; Arecales; Arecaceae
Description: long non-coding RNA (EGUI_LNC038946)
Source: RNAcentral
UUCCCCAAACAUUGCUUCAUCGGCAAAAGUAGUAGCUGUCAUUCCCCACGAUCUUCAUGCACUCUGGUCAAAUCUGACUUGAAUAUGUUGAAAAUCACAAAACAUCGAAGGACCAUCCACAAUUGGUGCAUGGGAGACCCAAUAGAAAAGGUACUAAUGAGUCUCCAUCCAAAAUUAGAGGUCUUUCGAGCAAAGGUCGAC